UAAAUGCACCCAAUAGCAAUCAUUUAAGCAUACACUUAGAAUGACCCUGCAUGGCAGACACACCUGAAUGUGUGUUCUGAGCUAGGGAAUCUGGGAGUGGCCAACCCAGAGAUUCAUUCCUUAUCCAUGAUGAACAUCUGAGCCUACAGCUUACCCCAUGGAACACGGGCUGUAUAGGGAAUUGAAGCCCUGAGUUUUGGGUUAAAUGAAGCUUGCCAGGUGGAGGUCAUUACGCAGAGGGUGUUAAAUUAAAAUGCUAUAUAAACUACAUGUUAUUUGCAGGUGGCUGUGGUUUUCCUGCCCAGCCCACUACCACUGGGCCGUAGAUGAGAUGGAUAUCUUGUCCAGCCCGCUGCCACUGGACCAUUUCUGCAGCAGUUGCAUCUGUUACACAGUAAAGGAGUCCUAGAGAAGUGCUGCCAAGGGGAACUCAUAAAAAAGCCGCUGCUGGAGACUCAGAUGUGCCCUGCUGAGCGAGGCAGUCUCCUCCUACUUACCGUGCUGCAGUGAGCCGCAGUCACCCGCGGGGGAGUUGAAGAAUAAGUUGAAUAUGGUUGAACACGGUGGCAUCAUACUGCUCAGCCAUCUCUGGGGUUAACUGCAGAUGAGAUAAUUCCUGUAUAACUCCUGGAUCCUCUAGGGCAUUCUGCCACUGUAUCCACACUUCAUGGUACAAGGGCGAAUGGACAGAUCUCCAGCUUCCAAGUGAAACGUGAAGGCGACUCGACAAGGAUUUCUGUUAGGACAAUAGUUUUGCUUCAUGAAGACCAGGAAGGCUUGAACUCAGGACAAUGGGUAUCUUGAAUUUACUCAGUUCCCAUCUCUUAAGUUAUUAAACAUUAUUUCCCACCUGUCUUGUGUAUUUUUGCUUGAUCCCUAUAAUAUGGGGGCAGGCAUAAUUUUGUAUAACCCCUGUAAGACGUGUGCCAGGUACAAUUGGCCCUAUUUCCUAUGUGGGGAAACUGAGACUCAGAGCAGAGAAGCGACUCUCCUAAGUCACACGUUGUAUUGCUGGCAGAGUCUCGGGCAGGAGUCGUGCCUCCUGAUUUCCAGGUACAUGCUGCUUUUGCUAGAACCAAUCUAUUAAAGAACCAAGACUCUUUUAUUUGGAAUUAAUGAGGGAUUCCAAAAAUAGUGUUAGCAGUGCUUAACAAAUUUGAAAGAGCAAAGGAACUGAAGCCAGAGAAGACUGAGAUAGGGGAGCUGUUUCAUUGUAUCAAUUUCUAUUCACUUUGUUAAUAAUUGAUGCCACAUUUACUCAUUGUUAUAUAUUAAAAAUACUUGAUUUGCUACAAGGUAAAAAUGACCCAUUGACUUUGUCUCUCAACCUACGCUAACCCUAAAUGAGAAUCUCAUUGUGACCACGAUUUUGCAAAAUUGAUUAAAUGGAAAUAAAUGCAUUCAAGUGUCAAAGGCUGCAUUGGGAAUGGUUGCUAAUGAGCUUGACCUUUCAGAGCUUCCUGGCUGGGUGCACAGUAGGUGUUCAAUGAGUACUGAUGGAUGUCUUGACUGACUGAGAUUUCGGUUAGCCUUCCAUCCCCGGGAGCAUGGUGCCUCUAAUGUGUUAGAUGGCAUCAUGUUCCAAAAAUGAAUCGAUCUAUAAAUUUGAAGACUAAUUUGGAAACAUUUUAACCUUACUAAACAGAAUAGUAUGAUAAAACCUAGGUACCCUACGCCAGCUUCAAAUCAAUAUUCUGCUGUUUUUGUUUACUUCCCUUAACACACAUCACUGCCUCCCCACCCCCAACACACACACACUUUUUUGUUUUUGAGACAGAGUCUCGCUCUGUCACCGAGGCUGGGGUGUAGUGGCGCCAUCUCGGCUCACUGCAAGCUCCGCCUCCUGGGUUCAUGCCAUUCUCCUGUCUCGGCCUCCCAGUCUCCAGAGUAGCUGGGACUUCAGGUGUCCACUUUUUUUUUUUUUUUUUGGCUGAAGUACCAUAAAGGAAAUUUCAAACAUUGUGUCAUUCACCUGUGAAUAAAUCUGUAUGUACCUCCAAUAGAUAGACUAAAAAAACCACAACCUUAUCACCACAACACAAUUAGCCAUUGUUUCUUAAUAUCAUAGGAGGCCUCUUCCAUGCUGAAUGCUCCAUGGGUUCUUAAAGUCGUGUUCUUUUGAUGAGAUUCUUCACAUAAGAUUUUACAGUUGGCCGGGCGCGGUGGCUCACGCCUGUAAUCCCAGCACUUUGGGAGGCCGAGGCGGGUGGAUCAUGAGGUCAGGAGAUCGAGACCAUCCUGGCUAACAAGGUGAAACCCCGUCUCUACUAAAAAUACAAAAAAAAAAUUAGCCGGGCGCGGUGGCGGGCGCCUGUAGUCCCAGCUACUGGGGAGGCUGAGGCAGGAGAAUGGCGUGAACCCGGGAAGCGG
RNAcentral lists this long non-coding RNA (2370 nucleotides) under Homo sapiens (human). RNAcentral's name for it is "HSALNT0223970". The record is from RNAcentral. Lineage: Eukaryota; Metazoa; Chordata; Mammalia; Primates; Hominidae.